Molecule: ribosomal RNA, 355 nt
Filed under: uncultured bacterium
Lineage: Bacteria
Description: bacterial SSU rRNA
Rfam family: Bacterial small subunit ribosomal RNA
Source: RNAcentral
GACGAACGCUGGCGGCGUGCUUAACACAUGCAAGUCGAGCGGUAAGGCCCUUUCGGGGGUACACGAGCGGCGAACGGGUGAGUAACACGUGGGUGACCUGCCCUCAGCUCUGGGAUAAGCCCGGGGAAACUGGGUCUAAUACCGGAUAUGACUCCAUGACGCAUGUUGUGGGGUGGAAAGCCUUGUGCGGCUGAGGAUGGGCCCGCGGCCUAUCAGCUUGUUGGUGGGGUGAUGGCCUACCAAGGCGACGACGGGUAGCCGGCCUGAGAGGGCACCGGCCACACUGGGACUGAGAUACGGCCCAGACUCCUACGGGAGGCAGCAGUGGGGAAUCUUGCGCAAUGGGCGAAAGCCU